Non-coding RNA from Punica granatum (pomegranate), 1148 nucleotides. Lineage: Eukaryota; Viridiplantae; Streptophyta; Magnoliopsida; Myrtales; Lythraceae. The record is from RefSeq and is a predicted model, not a curated record.
GUAAACCCCAAGUCCAGCCCUUCUCAUAGGCGCGUCUGGCUCUGGUCAGGUGCGUCAGGCGUUCCUGUCGCCACCAAAUGAUAACUAAGGCUCUCCUCUCUCUCUCUCUCUCUCUCUCUCUCGAUGUGGUGGCUUCUGUCGGCCCUUUCCCUUCUUCUUUAUUCUCCUCCCUCUCCUUUUCUGAUCGAGCAAUGAAGGCACUAGUGGAAGAGAUGGCGGCUCCGCGUAGUUGAUCUGCGGCGAUUUCGAGGCUGGGGUCGAACCCGUGGUCGAUUUCGUUGCUAAGGUCACCGUGCUAACUGUUGUUUCAGUAAGGCCUGGAGCUUUUCCAUGACGGGCCGUCCCCGUGGCUGCAGUCGUUCCCUCUGUGACGUCUUCGAUGUCUCCGCCCUCGAUCCAUGGUGGAGACGGUAUUUGACGGUGCCCCGGAGGUUGAAAAGCCCUCAUCCUCUUCCUUUCCAUCUUCGGACGAUGAAUGGCGACGCACAUGAAGGCAACAACGAGAUAAUAACGGCGAUGGCAGCUUUGCACUAUGACCGGCCACGUUUGGCCUAGGUUGGCGACCCUGAUCUGCCAUGUUCAACCGGAACCGACUGGACCCAACCCCACUCGAUUCGACAGCAACGUCAUAGAGGCUUUGCCCACGUCUGGCCCGACCUCUCUGACCGAUUGGCUUCUCUCCUUUCCCUUCGAUGACAGAUUAUCCUCUUAGCGUCCCGAUCUCCUCCCUAUUAUAGUACUCUUGCCCAACAGGCAAACGAUCGCGCCAUUAGUCUGAUAGUCCUACCUCUCGCCUAUAAAGACCAACCUUUUGUGGCUCCCCUGUUGUGAUCACUGGUCUGAAUCGAUCAAGGAGGCUUUGUGCGUCCCUAGUUUGAUUACUUAGAGAUUUGGCUAUUAAGUAUUAGAUAGAUCGAUUAUUAGUGUUGUUGUGAUUAUUGGUGGGAUUUUGCGAUUGGAUACUAACCCGGAAUACCUUCAUUAUGAGUGGAAUUUAAUUGUGAAUUUAGGGUGCCUCCAUCCUGAUUACUAUUGGGGUUCACGAUGAAAUACAGUCAGUAAGUAGCGAUUGAAACUAACGGUUUCAAUAUUGCUAGAUACAAUUGUACUCUCGUUUAUUCUUUAAUGUUUCUCGUUUAUUCUUUGUA